Molecule: long non-coding RNA, 528 nt
Organism: Sorex fumeus (smoky shrew)
Lineage: Eukaryota; Metazoa; Chordata; Mammalia; Eulipotyphla; Soricidae
Exons: 3
Source: RefSeq, a predicted model, not a curated record
AGUCCAAGAGACCCGUGCUCAGCUCAGGAGCAAGCCAGCUGUGCCCCUCAGGAGGACCGCAGCAUCCCCACCGCCAACACUCACCGGUGUACCCCCGAGAAAGAGAGCCAGUCUCCAAAGCCAGGCUGCGCCCCAAGCCCCCCUGAGAAGGGCCACCCAGCCCAGAAACCAUGCUCCCUGGCCAGCAGCCCCCUUCAGGACGUGUGGAACAUUCUGGACCUGGGCUCCAGCCCCUCGGACCUUGCCUCUCUGCAUGACUCUGCUCCAGAGUUGGUGCCAGCAGCAGGGCCCACCAGGACCCCCUCCCACAGCAGUCAGCCUGCCUUCGCACUCCAGGGCGUGAAGAUAGACCCACAGGCCAAGGCCAGGCCUCCCAGGACCCUCCGGCCCAGACUUCGUCCUCAGAGCCUCCUGCCGCCCCCCAAGAUCCGCAACUACAACUUCAAGGACUGACUCCCUGCAGCCGCGCCUGCCCACCCGGCCCCUCAGUGCUCCAACCUGUGCUUCGCUCUCACGCUGGUGUGUGCU